Anastrepha obliqua is the source of this 484-nucleotide long non-coding RNA. RefSeq lists it as uncharacterized. The record is from RefSeq and is a predicted model, not a curated record. Lineage: Eukaryota; Metazoa; Arthropoda; Insecta; Diptera; Tephritidae. The transcript has 2 exons.
UUCAGUUGAGCAUACGAAUCUUUCGGAGCAGAAUUUUUCGCAAAUACGAACACAAGACGAACAUACUUAAAAUGUGGUUUAAAUUGACUGCAAGUUCAAUUCUCCAAACCUGCAUCUUCGUCGUGAUCGUCGGGAACAUAUGUGGUGAACGUUGUCCACACACUGAAAUAAUGUACAGUGCUGGUGGCAAGACAUCGAAUUUGAGGGUGUGUGGAGAUGGGAAGUAUGAUGGCUAUUUUUGUUGUGGAAAAGGCCCGUGCAACCUUUUUUGUCAUAACUGUGACGGUGGUUGUAUCCAGGGCGAUGCCUUGGCAAAUUUCAAAAAACUGAUGGAAGGACUUAUUACGAAUGCUGUUGUACUUAGAGUACUCUAAAAUUAUUGCCCAAAAAUCGUUGUAUUACGCUUUUUUCAAGCAACAUGAGUGUUCUUUCAAAUUAUAUCGUUUAUAAAAAAUAAAGUCAACUUUUUGUGUGUGUUCGCUAA